This 712-nucleotide ribosomal RNA is filed under the name uncultured bacterium. RNAcentral describes it as "bacterial SSU rRNA". It matches the Rfam family "Bacterial small subunit ribosomal RNA", at positions 60 to 761 of the family's 1533-position model. The record is from RNAcentral.
AGUCGAGGGGCAGCAUUUUAGUUUGCUUGCAACUGAAGAUGGCGACCGGCGCACGGGUGAGUAACACGUAUCCAACCUGCCGAUAACUCCGGGAUAGCCUUUCGAAAGAAAGAUUAAUACCGGAUAGCAUACGAAUAUCGCAUGAUAUUUUUAUUAAAGAAUUUCGGUUAUCGAUGGGGAUGCGUUCCAUUAGCUUGUUGGCGGGGUAACGGCCCACCAAGACUACGAUGGAUAGGGGUUCUGAGAGGAAGGUCCCCCACAUUGGAACUGAGACACGGUCCAAACUCCUACGGGAGGCAGCAGUGAGGAAUAUUGGUCAAUGGGCGCGAGCCUGAACCAGCCAAGUAGCGUGAAGGAUGAAGGCUCUAUGGGUCGUAAACUUCUUUUAUAUGGGAAUAAAGUUUUCCACGUGUGGAAUUUUGUAUGUACCAUAUGAAUAAGGAUCGGCUAACUCCGUGCCAGCAGCCGCGGUAAUACGGAGGAUCCGAGCGUUAUCCGGAUUUAUUGGGUUUAAAGGGAGCGUAGGUGGAUUGUUAAGUCAGUUGUGAAAGUUUGCGGCUCAACCGUAAAAUUGCAGUUGAAACUGGCAGUCUUGAGUACAGUAGAGGUGGGCGGAAUUCGUGGUGUAGCGGUGAAAUGCUUAGAUAUCACGAAGAACUCCGAUUGCGAAGGCAGCUCACUAGACUGUCACUGACACUGAUGCUCGAAAGUG